AUUGAACGCUGGCGGCAUGCCUUACACAUGCAAGUCGAACGGCAGCACGGGAGCAAUCCUGGUGGCGAGUGGCGAACGGGGUGAGUAAUAUAUCGGAACGUGCCCAGUCGUGGGGGAUAACGCAGCGAAAGCUGUGCUAAUACCGCAUACGAUCUACGGAUGAAAGCGGGGGAUCGCAAGACCUCGCGCGAUUGGAGCGGCCGAUAUCAGAUUAGCUAGUUGGCGGGGUAAAAGCCCACCAAGGCGACGAUCUGUAGCUGGUCUGAGAGGACGACCAGCCACACUGGAACUGAGACACGGUCCAGACUCCUACGGGAGGCAGCAGUGGGGAAUUUUGGACAAUGGGGGCAACCCUGAUCCAGCCAUGCCGCGUGAGUGAAGAAGGCCUUCGGGUUGUAAAGCUCUUUCGGCCGGGAAAAAAUCGCAUCAGUUAAUACCUGGUGUGGAUGAUGGUACCGGAAUAAGAAGCACCGGCUAACUACGUG
This 485-nucleotide ribosomal RNA is filed under the name uncultured bacterium. RNAcentral's name for it is "bacterial SSU rRNA". It matches the Rfam family "Bacterial small subunit ribosomal RNA", at positions 30 to 507 of the family's 1533-position model. The record is from RNAcentral.